Molecule: ribosomal RNA, 570 nt
Filed under: Helicascus mangrovei
Lineage: Eukaryota; Fungi; Ascomycota; Dothideomycetes; Pleosporales; Morosphaeriaceae
Description: eukaryotic LSU rRNA
Rfam family: 5.8S ribosomal RNA (bases 270-425)
Source: RNAcentral
AAAGUAUUGCGCCGGAAAUGUUAAUUCGCGGUUUCUGUGGGAUAUUGAAGCUAUCAAUCAGGAUCCCUUUAUUACCUAUAGAAGUAGUUCUCGGACUUGCGAUGUGAGAUGUGGGGUUCUGGGGGCCGACAUGUCUGUAGAUGGAUUCUAUCCAACUCUGUGUUUACGAGUACCUAUUAUCGUUUCUUGGUAGGCUCAGCUUACCAGGUGAACGUUUUUAUUCAACCUUAUUAGUCGGCAAUUUACUUUCUGAGGAGACUAAUUAUCACAACUUUCAACAAUGGAUCUCUUGGUUCUGGCAUCGAUGAAGAACGCAGCGAAAUGCGAUAAGUAGUGUGAAUUGCAGAAUUCAGUGAAUCAUCGAAUCUUUGAACGCAUAUUGCGUCCUUUGGAUUACUCCACUGGGCAUACUUGUUCGAGCGUCUAUGAGUAGUCUUGCAGUAAGCUUGGUGUUGAGUGCUUGUUUCUAGUAAAUAGGAACUCGCUCUAAAAAUAUUGGCGGCCUUGAUAUAGCUCUAUGCGCAGUACAUACGCGCUAUAGAUUAUUAUUUGUGUCCAAUAAGCUUCAAA